RNAcentral lists this ribosomal RNA (497 nucleotides) under uncultured bacterium. RNAcentral's name for it is "partial 16S ribosomal RNA". It matches the Rfam family "Bacterial small subunit ribosomal RNA", at positions 28 to 507 of the family's 1533-position model. The record is from RNAcentral.
GAUGAACGCUGGCGGCGUGCCUAAUACAUGCAAGUCGAGCGAACGGACGAGAAGCUUGCUUCUCUGAUGUUAGCGGCGGACGGGUGAGUAACACGUGGAUAACCUACCUAUAGGACUGGGAUAACUUCGGGAAACCGGAGCUAAUACCGGAUAAUAUUUUGAACCGCAUGGUUCAAAAGUGAAAGACGGUCUUGCUGUCACUUAUAGAUGGAUCCGCGCUGCAUUAGCUAGUUGGUAAGGUAACGGCUUACCAAGGCAACGAUGCAUAGCCGACCUGAGAGGGUGAUCGGCCACACUGGAACUGAGACACGGUCCAGACUCCUACGGGAGGCAGCAGUAGGGAAUCUUCCGCAAUGGGCGAAAGCCUGACGGAGCAACGCCGCGUGAGUGAUGAAGGUCUUCGGAUAGUAAAACUCUGUUAUUAGGGAAGAACAUAUGUGUAAGUAACUGUGCACAUCUUGACGGUACCUAAUCAGAAAGCCACGGCUAACUACGUG